CCAGCUCAGUAAAUAAAUAAUCAACAUAAUCUAUAUCACAUACACUUAAUACAAUUUCCACCCAAUCACAUAACUUUCCAUGAUAUUCAUAGUUUAGGUAUAAAGUCAUACCAUUAUACUCAAUUCAUUACAACCAUCAUAGAAGAAAUACAAUUCAACAAUUAUGGUUAGUUCUCACAGCUUGUGGAUCCCUUUUAAUCUGCUGCUCCGCCUCAUCCUCACAUAUCACACACGUAAG
Molecule: long non-coding RNA, 238 nt
Filed under: Ricinus communis (castor bean)
Lineage: Eukaryota; Viridiplantae; Streptophyta; Magnoliopsida; Malpighiales; Euphorbiaceae
Description: long non-coding RNA (RCOM_LNC001057)
Source: RNAcentral